GACAGAGUGAGGCAGCUGGUGACAUGACUUCUGUAGUCAGGACACUGAGAGAUGGACGUGGUACUCAGCUUUCUUUCUUUUUUUAUCCCUUUGCGUUCAGUUCACCAGCCCAAGCCAUAGGGUGUUACCACCUCCAUUCAGGGUGGGCCUUCCUUUUUCAUUUUUAGCACCCCAGAUAAAUAACUUCUAAGCUUGGGUCUCUCUCCUCCCCUUUCCUCCCCCCACCCCGUCUUCUUUCCCUUCUCUUUUUUUUCCUUCCCUCUCCUCUCUUCCCUUCCUGUCCCCUCUCCUCUUCUUCCCCUUUUUUCCCCUCCCAUCUCUCCUCCACCUCUCCUUCCUCCCAUUUUCUUUCCUCCUCUUCCCUUUUUUCCUUCUUCCCUCCCUUCUCUCUCUGUUCUCCUCUCUUCUCUCUCUGUUUCUCUUCUCUCUGUCCUCUCUCUCUCAAGUGGGUCUCACUGAGCCCACAUUAUUUUCAAAUUUACUAUGGAGCUGAGCUGAAUCUUGAUGUUUGCACAGCCACAGCCACUUUGUGAACCAUGGGGAUUAAGCCCAGGGCCUUCUUCAUGCUAGGAAACAAUAUAGAGAGGAUUCCUCCCUUUCCGAGGGCAUUCUCACAAGAACACAAAGGUGACACAGAACUAAAAAGCACGGAUCUGCUUCUUUUCUCCUACAAGAUGGUUUCCGAACCUCCUUCCCCAUUACUUUUGUCCCCAGGUGGUCAGUCUUGGCUCCACUCGUCACUGUACAGUCUUACAUGGAAGGAAACAAAACUGGAAACGAUGCGUUGAGUGGGAGCCAACAUCAAAAUGCCCAGCCAUCAUCUGCCAGGGCUGUUUUCAAUGAGCAGCAACUCUUAUGAAACACUUAAUUUCAAAACAUUUAAAAAAAAAAAAAAGCAUUUGGCAUUAAUUUAAAGGAAAACAAGCAUCCCAGUAAAUCAGUUCUGUUAAUGUUUACAUGUAUAUUACAAUGGAGCCAUACACGUUUCACAUAUACGGUCUGUUGA
Meriones unguiculatus (Mongolian gerbil) is the source of this 1006-nucleotide long non-coding RNA. RefSeq lists it as uncharacterized. The transcript is spliced from 3 exons. NCBI's taxonomy places the organism in Eukaryota, Metazoa, Chordata, Mammalia, Rodentia, Muridae. The record is from RefSeq and is a predicted model, not a curated record.